RNAcentral lists this ribosomal RNA (253 nucleotides) under uncultured bacterium. RNAcentral's name for it is "partial 16S ribosomal RNA". It matches the Rfam family "Bacterial small subunit ribosomal RNA", at positions 524 to 776 of the family's 1533-position model. The record is from RNAcentral.
UACGAAGGGGGCUAGCGUUGCUCGGAAUCACUGGGCGUAAAGGGUGCGUAGGCGGGUCUUUAAGUCAGGGGUGAAAUCCUGGAGCUCAACUCCAGAACUGCCUUUGAUACUGAGGAUCUUGAGUUCGGGAGAGGUGAGUGGAACUGCGAGUGUAGAGGUGAAAUUCGUAGAUAUUCGCAAGAACACCAGUGGCGAAGGCGGCUCACUGGCCCGAUACUGACACUGAGAGACGAAAGCUAGGGGAGCGAAUGGG